Non-coding RNA from Peromyscus maniculatus bairdii (prairie deer mouse), 1341 nucleotides. The record is from RefSeq and is a predicted model, not a curated record. NCBI's taxonomy places the organism in Eukaryota, Metazoa, Chordata, Mammalia, Rodentia, Cricetidae.
UCAAAAAACCAAACCAAACCAAAACCAAACCAAACCAAAACAAAACAAAACAAAACAAAACAAAACAAAACAAAAAACAAACAAACAAACAAGAAAAAAAACAAACCAAUAAAGUAGGAAGACUUGACGAGGAACUAAAUCAAACAAGUGACUUUUGUUUUUAUUUCUGUGGUAUUAGGGAUCAAGUCUAGACCUACAUGCUGGGCAAGUGACCUGUCGCUGAUGUCCACAUGAAAUCCCUUCAGCAAGCAAACUAAAUUUCCACUCAUAUGGGAUCCUGUGUGCUCUGUACCUCCUGAUAUCACCCGUUAGGGAGGGCACCAUGCUCCUCCUGGGCCAUUCCUGCCCUAAAUGGGAAGCUUGACUCUGAUCCAGUGGAAAUACCAGAACCAAGGAGGUCUCAUAUUUCUGAGGAUGAAGAUGAGAAGGAUGGUGAUGUGGCCUGGACUUUGACCAUUGGAACUCCAAGGCUUCUUAACAGAAGGCUUUGCCCAAGUCUUCCUGAACUCACCCAUCUCCAUUUCUUCUCUACCUCUUUUGUUCUAGGCACUUAAGCAUAUUGCUUUAUUUCACAUACCCAUGAUUCCCUAAGUGUAUUUAUUAAUAUUCCCACUUUACAGAAUAGGCUAGCAGAGGCACAGACAGAUUGACUUACCCAACCUCUGUGGCAGACUGAGACUCAGAGGGGCACGUCAGAUCUGAGGGCAGGGGGCUUAACUAUCAUCUUAUAGUCUUCAGCCUUGUUCCUCGGAUUACCAAGUACAUCCAGAUUUGCCUGGAGAAUACACUAAAACACAGUUUCUGACUUCAUAGGCCUGUAACAGGGUCUGAAGAUGCUCUUUUUUGAUUUUGAGACAGUGUCUCAUAUAUCCUGAGCUGACUUCCAGCUCAGUAAGUAGUAGGGAUGACCUUGAAACUCUCAUUUUCCUGACUUCAUCUCCCAAGUUCUGGGAGUACAGAUAUGAGCCAGCACACUCUGCUUUAAAUGUGGGGCUAGGUUGGGACCUAAGGUUGAAGGCUUGUUAAGCAGGCCCUCUUAUCAAUGGAGUUACAUCCUCAGCCCUAAACAUGCAUUCCAAGAAGCUCUCUGGUGAUGUCAGCACUGCAAGAGCUCAGUCUACACUUUAACUCGCAAGCUUGAGCUCACUGGCUAUUUGGGGCUUAGCCACCUAUGAGCUUCUACCUCAUUUUAGCUUGGAAUUUUUUUUUCAAUCAAAAGAUGAAAGGUAUAUCUACAAAACCACUCCCCAACCCAAGGCUCAGGGGACAUCAUGGAAGAGGGGGUGUAAAUAUUGUAAGAGGGAGUUGGCUGUGUGAUUGUGUCUCCUGAUAAAGUCAGAA